Molecule: small nuclear RNA, 105 nt
Organism: Suncus etruscus (white-toothed pygmy shrew)
Lineage: Eukaryota; Metazoa; Chordata; Mammalia; Eulipotyphla; Soricidae
Source: RefSeq, a predicted model, not a curated record
UUGUUUUAGUAGCACAUAUACUAAAAUUGAAAUGAUACAUAGAAGAUUAACAUGUUCCUCCUGCACAAGAAUGACACACAAAUUCAUAAAAUGUUCCAUUUAUUU